AUUGAACGCUGGCGGCAGGCCUAACACAUGCAAGUCGAGCGAGCGGCGGACGGGUGAGUAAUGUAUGGGGACUGCCCGAUAGAGGGGGGUAACUACUGGAAAAGGUAGCUAAUACCGCAUACUAUCGGAUAACCCAUAGGGGAUUAGCGAGUAGGUGAGGUAAUGGCUCACCUAGGCGACGAGCCCUAGCUGGUCUGCGAGGAUGCUCAGCCACACGGGGACUGAGACACGGCCCAGACUCCUACGGAGGCAGCAGUGGGGAAGAUUGGACAAUGGGCGCAAGCCUGAUGCAGCCAUGCCGCGUGUAUGAAGAAGGCCCUAGGGUUGUAAAGUACUUUCAGUCGGGAGGCGUUACCGGCAGAAGAAGCACCGGCUAACUCCGUGCCAGCAGCCGCGGUAAUUC
This 403-nucleotide ribosomal RNA is filed under the name uncultured bacterium. RNAcentral's name for it is "partial 16S ribosomal RNA". It matches the Rfam family "Bacterial small subunit ribosomal RNA", at positions 29 to 526 of the family's 1533-position model. The record is from RNAcentral.